UCGGGUGUCCAGGCGCCAGAUCCGAAGCGAAUGUCUUCGGCUGGUAGCUCAUGGGUGGAACAUUGACAUAGGUGCUGCAGGAUUCUGGCUGGUUCUAGUACGUCGCUUCGGUGACUGGAACGGACGAGUCAGAGGGUGGUGGCAUAUGCACGCUGUUGGGUCCUGAGGGACCGGGCCGGCACCGGAAGGUGUUGGACUGAACCUCUGGACCCUUUCGUCAUCUCCCUUGUGGGGGUGCGGGAGGGUACCGCCCGUACUUUGAGAACUACACAGUGGACGCGAGCAUCUUAGAUUCAGGCUUCGGCCUGGAUCACAAGAUCUGACUGCACUCCUUUCGGGGAGUGUGUAGAUCAUUGGUCAAUCUCGGCAUCUUCGGGUGUCGCGAUCGAUUCUAAAACUCAUGUGAUUUCAAGUUUCUAAGAGCAGACGGUGGAUGCCUUGGCAUCUGGAGCCGAAGAAGGACGUAGUAAUCUGCGAUAAGCCUCGGGGAGCUGAUAAACGAGCUGUGAUCCGAGGGUUUCCGAAUGGGGAAACCCCGCCGGGCCCUUUG
This 550-nucleotide unclassified non-coding RNA is filed under the name uncultured Microbacteriaceae bacterium. Its description in RNAcentral is "partial contains 16S-23S ribosomal RNA intergenic spacer, and 23S ribosomal RNA". The stretch from base 407 to 550 matches the Rfam family "Bacterial large subunit ribosomal RNA", at positions 1 to 143 of the family's 2925-position model. Lineage: Bacteria; Bacillati; Actinomycetota; Actinomycetes; Micrococcales; Microbacteriaceae. The record is from RNAcentral.